This 467-nucleotide long non-coding RNA is filed under the name Pan paniscus (pygmy chimpanzee). Its description in RNAcentral is "lncRNA (ENSPPAG00000044897.1)". The record is from RNAcentral. Lineage: Eukaryota; Metazoa; Chordata; Mammalia; Primates; Hominidae.
AUCACAAUUAAUUCCUGCAGAGAUGAUUAUAGUUACACUGAGAGGAUUAUGAUUUCAGGAAAGUGAUAAACAGCAGGGACAGAAUAAGGUCCUUUUUUUUGUUGUUUCCCAAGGAUUAUUAGCUUGAAAGUUAAUAUCAUAUAUGGGCUGUGGCUUAUUGUCCUAUGAGAAAUAGAAGAACCAGCAAUAGAAGAGACCCAGAUCAAGUUUGACUGAAAGGCAAACACCAUUCCCAACUGGCUUUACCAUCUGUCUUUCCACAGAGACAACUCACAGGCUAUAAAGUGCUUAACAUUUCCCUGGCUUCAGAAGGCACUAGGGAAGGAGGUAAGUAUGGACCAAUUAGCAGGUGGGCACUUCAAGUGUACUUCUAGUUAUUUAUAUGAAUUGUGAAGGUCUUUAAUAUCCUCUUUGAACUUUUGACUCAGAAAACAAGAUUUGUCUACUUGUAUCUAGUUUAAACCAAU